GACAGUCGCCCAUGUCAAUCACGACGAUUUCAUCUCCGGAAGCCAUAAAUAGUAGCCGUGACAGAUGAAGUUCGGCCGAGAGAACGCCUUCCGACGUGGCUAAUGAUCAGCCGAAUCAAGUCGCUUGGACGUCCAGAACCGCUCGACCGCGUCUUCAGAGAAUUGUAGAGUGUUUUCCCUUUCGCUGAUGCACUUGAAGUGAAUUAGGGGUGCUUAGUGCUUACAGAGGAAUACAGGGUGGUUCUGCUUGAACUAUUUGUGAUAAUUUACCCUUUUGCGUCCUUAAUGUCAUUGGAGUUAAGUUUAGGUUCUCGAUUCCAUCUGUUUCUGUCAAUGCAAGAACACAAGUUUCAUGCUCCCCCGAAGCCAGAUUCGACACCGGUUCCUAGCAAAAGGGUAACUCUUGAAUCUUGAGUACUUCAGUUUAAGGAUGACAUGGCUUCCAUUCCGAUCACUAGCCGAUGUUAACCUUCCAUCUAAAGUGAAUUGUUCUGUCAUUCAA
Rhodamnia argentea is the source of this 502-nucleotide long non-coding RNA. RefSeq lists it as uncharacterized. Lineage: Eukaryota; Viridiplantae; Streptophyta; Magnoliopsida; Myrtales; Myrtaceae. The record is from RefSeq and is a predicted model, not a curated record. The transcript is spliced from 2 exons.